This 468-nucleotide ribosomal RNA is filed under the name uncultured bacterium. Its description in RNAcentral is "partial 16S ribosomal RNA". It matches the Rfam family "Bacterial small subunit ribosomal RNA", at positions 28 to 507 of the family's 1533-position model. The record is from RNAcentral.
GACGAACGCUGGCGGCGUGCUUAACACAUGCAAGUCGAACGGAAAGGCCCUGCUUUUGUGGGGUGCUCGAGUGGCGAACGGGUGAGUAACACGUGAGUAACCUGCCCUUGACUUUGGGAUAACUUCAGGAAACUGGGGCUAAUACCGGAUAGGAGCUCCUGCUGCAUGGUGGGGGUUGGAAAGUUUCGGCGGUUGGGGAUGGACUCGCGGCUUAUCAGCUUGUUGGUGGGGUAGUGGCUUACCAAGGCUUUGACGGGUAGCCUGCCUGAGAGGGUGACCGGCCACAUUGGGACUGAGAUACGGCGCAGACUCCUACGGGAGGCAGCAGUGGGGAAUAUUGCACAAUGGGCGGAAGCCUGAUGCAGCAACGCCGCGUGCGGGAUGACGGCCUUCGGGUUGUAAACCGCUUUCGCCUGUGACGAAGCGUGAGUGACGGUAAUGGGUAAAGAAGCACCGGCUAACUACGUG